RNAcentral lists this ribosomal RNA (253 nucleotides) under uncultured bacterium. RNAcentral describes it as "partial 16S ribosomal RNA". It matches the Rfam family "Bacterial small subunit ribosomal RNA", at positions 524 to 776 of the family's 1533-position model. The record is from RNAcentral.
UACGUAGGGUGCAAGCGUUGUCCGGAAUUAUUGGGCGUAAAGAGCUCGUAGGCGGUCUGUCACGUCGGCUGUGAAAACCCGGGGCUCAACCCCGGGCCUGCAGUCGAUACGGGCAGACUAGAGUGCGGUAGGGGAGACUGGAAUUCCUGGUGUAGCGGUGAAAUGCGCAGAUAUCAGGAGGAACACCGGUGGCGAAGGCGGGUCUCUGGGCAGUAACUGACGCUGAGGAGCGAAAGCAUGGGGAGCGAACAGG